RNAcentral lists this long non-coding RNA (34443 nucleotides) under Vitis vinifera (wine grape). RNAcentral's name for it is "long non-coding RNA (VVIN_LNC004161)". The record is from RNAcentral. Lineage: Eukaryota; Viridiplantae; Streptophyta; Magnoliopsida; Vitales; Vitaceae.
UGAACAAAGGUAAGUUUGCAUUAAAAAAAAAAAGUGAAAACAAAAAUAACUAAUGAAUUAUUUCUAUUUAAUCUUAACCCAAAAAAAGUAUAGUCUUACCUUAUCAAAAUUAUUUCAUUUUAUUAUAUUUCAUGAAAAUUAACUAACUUUAAUAUUGUUGAAAAAUCGGAUUUUUUGUCCAUAUUUUAUGAAUUUUUGGUUAUCCUUGGAUCGGCAUGCUCCAUGACGAACACUGCCCUAGUUUCACAUGGUUUGCAAUCCACGCUCCACGCGUUUUGAGCGAGAUGUCAGAUUGUCUUUUUGUCCAAAAUCAAAUGAUGUGGGGGUUGGGUUGUUGGCUUUGAUCCCAUGCACAAGAACUUGAGUUUGGAAUGGUCGACCUUCCCACUUGGGUUAUGCAGCCUAUGAUUUAAAUUUAAAGCAUAUAAUUUUUAUAUGGUAACUUUAUGUUUAUAUAAAAAAUGAAAGUAUAAAAAAAUUUAAUAGAUUAAUUAUUUUAUUUAAAAAUAAAAAAUGGAAAAGAAAAAAUUGUGAUUUCAUACAUGUAUUUGAAAAAAAAAAUCAUAAAAUAAGAACCCUCUAAAAAUUAUUCAAAUUUUAUUCACUCUCAACUCAAAGAGUACUUGAAAUGUUCAAAGGUAGUAUAUUUGACUAAAAAAUACUUUUUAUUUUGUAUUCUUUUUUUUUUUUUACGUGUAUAUGCAAAAACACUUUUCCCAAUUUAAAAAUGAUCGUCAUAAUUUUUGAAUUUUUUUAUAUAUUUUAUAUACUAAUUAAAUAUAAAAGAAAUAAAAGCUUAUAAAUAAAAUUUAAAACAUUUUUAAAUAAAAGGUCAUAUUCAUAUUUAUUUUAUUUUAUUAAAUUAUCCAAAUUAGAUAGAGGAAUAUAAAAUAUGUUUUUAAGUUUUGUUUAUUGUUAUUUAGUAUAAAAAAUUAUGUCAUACAUUUUUUUUAUAUAUAAAAACAACUUUAAUACGUGUAUUAUUGUUUUUUUAAUCAAUUUUUGUCUCACUCCAUUGAAAAAAUCCAAUCACUAAUACUUGUGUAGAAACUACUAUUUUUUAUCCUUACCUAUGAACUCUUAUUGUAUGCUUAGUUCUAGGAAAAUUAGAAAAAAAAAUGUGACUGAAAAAAAAAAUGAGGUGAAAAAUAAAAGGAAAGAAAAAUGGAAAGAAAAUAGAAAAUAUAUUUAAAAUUAAUAAAUUAUUUUUAUAUACCUUUUCAAGCUCACUUCACUUUUUUUUUUUCCUUUUUUAUAUAAAAAUUAAAUUUUAUAAAAUUUUAAUUAUAUUUAAUUUUCUUUCAUUAUUUUUUUAUGACAAACCAAACAUAAGAAAAUCAUUUUUGAAAUAUUUUUUCCUCUGAUAGUAUUUUUUGGAACCAAACAUAGUCUAGGAGAAAAACCAAAUAAUUAAAAUUGUCAUUAACUAUAUAAUUGAUGCAUAUAUUAUGAAAUGUAGUAUGUUAUCCUUAUUCAACUUUAAUCACUCGAGUUUGACAAAUUGUCAUUAAUUAAACCAAUGAGAUUAAAGAAUAAUCUCACAAUUUCAUUGGAAAAAUUAAAAAAUAAUGAAAACAAUAAAUAGAAAAUGUAAGAAAAUGGUAUUGACACAUAUGUAAGGUCAUGUUUUGUACAUGGAAAUGAAGAAUGAGAAUGAAUAAUUUUUUUUUCAUUUAUAUUUUUCUUCAAACAAAAAUGAAUUUGGUGAGACCAUUUUUUAAAAGAAUUAUUAAGAUUUAAAAAUUUUGUUUUAUUGUAUUUAUUUAUUUAUUCUUUACAUUGUUUGUAUAUAUAUAGGAAAGAAAAAGAGGAAAAAAAGAGAGAAAGGAAUCCAAGAAAAAAAAAAAAAAGAUAUCAGAUCAGCACUAGUAGCAUGAUGGUUAUUAUAUGCCAAAGAGAAAAUAUAUGAAUUCUGUGCUUGUUGGAAAAUUUGAUUUUUGAAAACAUACUAAAAAAAGUAAGAAAAAAUAAAGAAUAGAUUGAUAGAUAAUAAAUUAUUUUUUCACUCUCAUUCAAACUCAUUUUACUUAUAUAUUUUUCAUUUUAAAUAUAAAGAUUAAAUAAUUUAAAUUUUUAAUUUUUUGUAUUAAUUUUGAUUAUAUUUUAUUGAUAAAUUAAAUAUGAGAUUUUUUUUUAUAUAGCCUAAAAUAGAUAUAAAAAAUAAUAAAUAAAUAAAAAGUAAACAAAUAAGCAUAAAUGGUGAGGUUGGUGAGUGAGUCGGUGGAAUAUGAGAAUUUUGAGAAGAUGGAUAAGGAUGAAGUGUCUCCCCUUCGUCAAAGGUUUGACAUGAAAUAAUAAUAAUAACAACAAUAAUGAAAAAUAAAAAUUCUAAGGUCUAAAAAUAUUUGCAUCUUUUUGCGUAGUAUUUUUUAUUUCUUUCCAUUAUUUAUUAUAAAUUUAUUUAUUUAUGUUUCUUGGUUUCUCAUUUGUUAUCCUUUUUUGCAUUAAUCAAAUAUUUGAGCAUACUCACCUCACAUCACUUACAUUGUACAUGACUUGGGUAUUAGGAGUUGCACAGAAGAUCCAAGUUAUGGAUUCCUUGUAAAGUAAUGAGUAGUCUAUAGUCUUCUCAUGGAUUUGGGCAAUCCAUUUGAGACUGUAGUGCAUUAUCUCCUAAUUGGAGGGAUGACUUAUCUUGGUCAUCAGAAUGGUUUUCCCAUGGUGAGUGCACUAGUGUAUGUGAUGCACACUAGACAGGACCUAUGGUGAAUCAUGACAUAAGGUUAUCGAUUCUCAUGAUUCACCAAGAUACUAUACUAAAUGGACUCUCAACCUUGAAAGGAUAUUGAGUUUGUGACAAAGUCAACAGAAGGCUUUGACCUAAGGGUGAGAACCUAAAGUGGUCAUACAAAAAAAACAACUUAUCUAUAAAUUUAUUUCUUUAUGUUUCUUGGUUUCCUAUUUAUUAUCCAUUUUUGCAUUAAUCAAUUAUCUAAGCAUACACACCUCACAUCACUUACAUUGUACAUGACUUAGGGGUAUUAGGAAUUGCACAGAAGAUCCAAGUCAUGGGUUCCUUGUAGAGUGAUGAGUAGUCCACAGUUGAUUCAUGGGUUUGGGCAAUACAUUUGAGACAAUAAUGCACUACUUUCUAAUUAGAGGGAUGACUUGUCUUGGUUGUCGGGAUGGUUUUCCCAUAGUAAGUGCACUAGUGUAUACAAUCCACAUUAAAUAGGACCUAUAGUGAAUCAUGACAUAAGGCUAUCAAUUAUCAUGAUUCACUAAGAUGCUAUAUUUCAUGCACUUUCAACCUUGAGAGGAUAUUGAACCUGUGUCAAAUUCAAUAGGAGGCUUUAAUUUAAGGGUGAGACCUUAAAGUGGUCAUAUGUCCUUAUAGAUUGGGUCACUAUUGAUGGAGGCUGGUGGCAACAGGUACUCUCAAUAAAGGCACCAUAAUUUCUCAUGGAUUGAGAUAAUAUGUCACAUUGGGUGAUCCAAAAGAUUUAUGAUCUAGAAUACUAUGGGCAUUACAUUUUCUUUAGUGGAAAUUUGACAUAUGCUCAUUUGAGUUAGAGUAUGUCAAUUGGUUGUAUAAUAAUUGGGAUCUGUAACUCAAGGAUUGGAAAAGUAAUCUUGAUAGGUGAUAACACUACCUUGUUAGAUUACGGACACUAAUUCAUAGGAAGUUUGCAUGUAGUGGAUAAUAGGUCAUGAAGCCAAACUUUGUCUCAUUAUUAUUUACAUAGUAUACCAGAGUGGAAUUAAUUGUCUUUAGUGGAAUGUUGAAUCAACUUCAGAAUUGGAUUUUGAGAGAGUCGGUACUCCUAUGGGUUUUAACGGCCCCCACUCUGAGCACAUAUAUCAUGAUGACACGAUUUAUAAGGGUUGGAUUGGCUCUAAGUUCACUAUUAUGCAUAAAGAUGUUUUGGUAAUUACGCAAGGUUGCAUAGGGGAUAGUGAACAAAUUCUUUGGAUUGGGCUAAUUGAUUAAUUAGAUGACCCUAUGUAGUUAAUUAAUCAAUUAGGACCCGUUUUGGGCUAGAUUAAGUAAUCCAAGCCUUGGUGGGCGUAAGUUACUUAAACCUAAUAAAGGAACCUUAUAAAUACUCCUUAAGAGUUAAGGUUUCCAUUGUUUUUUUGGUGUAAGAGUCGUCUUCGACCUCUAAAGAGAGAGAGAGCCUAGGAUUCAUCUCUUCCAAAGCUCACACUUUGGAGUACCAAAAUUGUAGUUGGAGUUAUCGAGUGGAAGAUCUUGGGUGUACAAGACCUUCUAACUCUUUAGGUUUCAUCUUCACCUUGCGGAAUUGAUUUGGAAACAUCCAAAUCAAAGGUAAAGUUUUCUAAUGGAUUUUCUCUAGAUCUUAGAAUAUUAAAAAAAAUAUAUAUUUUUUGCUUCCAUUAUAUAGGAUCUAGAGGCCUAGGGCAGUUUACAUUCAUCUAUAUGAUCUAGGGCUUGGGAAAUAAGAGAUCUAAGGUUCCCAACAGUGGUCAUAGAGGAAAGCAAGGAUAUCUAUUCCAUGAGAGGCAAUGAACUUGUUGGAUCUUGUCAUAUUUACAAGAUGACGCUUCCUAAUUCUUAACAGCUUAAAGAGUCCUAUUUUAAGGCUUCAAAGAAUGAAGAGAAAUUGCCUGAAAAUUCUAAAAAAAAAGUAGGAAGAGUGGAACUUGCCCCAAUAUCAAAAUGAAGCAAAGAAGUUAUGAAAUUCUAUAGAAAGAUCAAUAGGAAACAAGACUCAGGAAAGGGCAAAACACUUGAAAAUAAUUUUAAAGAAAUAGAUGAGUGUGGACCCCGUAUUUCGAUCGCUCGAAUGCAUUUCCCACUCGAUGGCGAAACUCGAUUUUUUAUUUGAAAAAAUUGAUUUGUCAUUGAUUAAGAAAAAUGACUUGGAGUCGCCACUUAUUUUUGUUUUAUUUUUUUAAAGGGUAAACAAAAUAAGAAAGAAAAACUCUAUGUGUGACUCCUUAUUUUGGAAAAGGUGAUCUGCGAAAAACCGGAUCGGGUUCGGGGGUCAGGUUACUUAUCGGGAAGGUACGGUAAAAACCGUAGCACCCCUCUAAGUCCCUAAAAUCGGGUCUCUACUAAUGAGAUGAAGCUGACAUGACAAUCAAUGAGAAAAUCAAUGAAUACUCGAAUCAAUCAUGCACAUAUGAGUAUCAGAAUAUGCAAUAGAGGAUUACUGAAGUGGAAGUGGAUGCGUACCUGAUCAGCAAACGGCAACGUGCUAUCACAAAAUGAGAUUAGUGCAUAGUAAUGAACAUAAAGUAUGUCACUCCUGUCACCAAAACAGAUAAAGAAACACCAAUAGCACGCAUGAUAUUUCAUUCAAAAUUCAUUUUUAUUUUAAAGCAAAUUUAUUUGAUGUAGGGCCCUCACCAAAGCCUGUUUAUUUUUUGCAUGAAUUAAUUCCAUAAAUUCCAUUAUUUGGAAUUACAGAUUUUAAAUUCAUGUUUAUUUUAAAACGUUUUAAAAUCAUGAAAAAUUAGGAACAUUGCAUGCCGAAGAAGAAGGCAGCAAAUUUUAUUGGAAAACAGAUUUUUGAAGCCUAAGGAAAGCUAAGGAUGAAAAGUUUAGAGAUUUGAAAUUAUUUAAAUCCUGAAAUUCUGAGAAGCUAUUUACAAGGAUGGAUUGGAAAAAUUAUUUUCAGAGUCAAAAGAUGAUGGAAUGGGGGGUAACAUAUGACGUGAGAGUGGCCAGUGAACCAUACAACCGGACGUACACAUGUGUGGGCCCAAGGUAGAGUGAUGAGAUGGAGCAUGAAAUACCCAAUGAAAACGGGGCAGCUCUAGAGACAUCAAAUGCAAACAUCUUAAUAAGACCUUCCUUUACCAUAUCAACUUCUCUUUCCUCGUUCGCUAUCUCUCCGAAAACAUCUUCUGCAACUGGAUGCUGCACUUGAUGACAGGUAAUAGCUGACAUGGCCAGAUCAUCAACUACCCAUUUAAAGAUAUCGUCUUAGGCAACAAAAAUUAGUCUCACGAUCCGUCACUAUCAGAAUAUUGAUUCAGCCAUCUUGAACGUAAGAACCAAUUCUUCCUUCAGCAUGGACCCUACAAGCCUGAUAUUCUCAUUCAACUCGCUGAUCAAGGGUGACUUCAAUUCUGGGACCAAAUACAAGUCACUGGGCUGCAGUGUUCACGUAACAGAGGCUUUCCAGAUUAAAUAAAUCAGCACUGCGACCCACAGCUGCCACUUGCUCUUUCAUUCGAACAGUUCCAACCUCUAGCUCCUUCAUAAGCCACUGCAAAUUUUGUUGACUUUCCUUCACCAGAUAUGCACUGCCCACAAUAUCCACUUGUGAAUCUGUGAAGUUACCAAAUGCGAGAGACCCCAUUCAUUUGAUUCUCAAAACCCAUAAGACAUACCGGGUUGCAAUUUCACCUUGCUCAUGCUUCUUUCCCAUCUCUUGGCAACCUCAGCUUUCUUGAAAAUCUAGCGUGUCUCCAUCAACACUGGGAUUAUUUAGAUGAGAUGAAUCAUUGAAUUUCGUGGCCGCAAAUCCAUCCAUGCCCAAAAAGGUACUCCAGCAAACCCCCAUUCUCCACUGAAAUUCCUCAACAUCCUAUGCACUUCGCAUUCGGAGCAUACCCAGUGGAGUUGAACGAAGUGAGCUCACAGUUCCUCAUCAAAACCAAGUUCAAAAGCCUCAUUGUUAACGCGGAACCUCAUUGUAUACCUUCAGCUUCUGGCGCUUUUCCAAACAGCCAUGCGUGUUUACUUCGAUCACGCUGAUGCCUAGAAAGAGUCAUCUCCUUGUAGACGUACUAAAAAAAAUCCAUUGGUGCGCACUGUCAGAUGCUUCGAGCAUUGAGCUAUGUAUAUACAAAUCUGACAUGAGGAAAAUACGGCCACCAUCCAGGCAUAUACUAGAAGCAAACAACAGCAUCAUCGGUGGUCAUACAUUGACACUUGGCUGUCAAAUCUGAAGGAAAGUCUGAAUAUGAAGCAUGUUUUCCCCAAAUGAGCUUUUCAAGCUCCUCAUACCGUGAAGAAGAAUUUUUGGAAGGUGGUGAGGGAGUGUCCAUGUGCAUGAGACUAGGAGGACUGGUUUGCUGGGCGUGAUGGAUGGCUAUACAUGCGUCGCGGGUAUAGGGAUGGUGAUGGAUGGUGGUGAAGUCCAGUGGGUAAGAAUAGAGGAGGGAUGGCAUGAUGGAGGCACAGGCUGCCGACAGUGAGUGCUAUGACAUAAGGUAAGUUGACUGUGGAGACCAAAGCACUAUGGUAAGCAAACUUACAGAGAGGGAAAUGGGUUUAUGGGUAUGGUUGGGUUUGGAGAGAGAAAAUGGAUAUGAAGGUUGAUGAGAGAGAACGGAUAUGUGAAGGUGGUGAUGAAGGAUAAUGAGAUGACAGUGGCUAUAUAUGGGGUCCCUUAUACUUAGGAGAAGGAUGAAAUGAACCGAAAAUGAGUUAUAUGGGGUGAUGGGUAUGGGAAUGACGGCCGGGUUUGCAUGGUUCCCAUGCACAUGGAUGGAUGGAUCUGGGAUGUCAACAAGGGCUUUAGAAGGAGCUUUGGACAACCAUGCAUGUACAGAAAUAGGUAUCGAAGAGCAUUCAACCUCACUCUGAUCAUUUAAAAUGGGCAAGUAUCUUAGCAGUAGCAUCCUUCAUAGUGGAUUUCACCCAUACCCAAUCCACGAGUCAAAAGUGCUUUAAGUUGGGCAAAACCCAUCAGCAAUAGCAAAAGAAAGAGUUCUUAAGUGAUCAGCAAUAACCUCGUAUACCAUGUCAACUUUGUCUGUAUCAUCUGAUCCAACUUUCCCUGAAUAUGUAUCUCGGCGCAAGCCCCUCAAGGAUCAAUAUCACUCAUCUCCUAGGAAUUGUUGUUACAACUAGAGGGCAAUACGCGUCCAGGUGGCAGAGCUUGAACAAAAAAAAUCCCUAGCUUCAGUAUACAGAAAUGGACCAUGAUGUCUUAUCACCACCUGAUGAAUCUCCAGUGCACUAAUGCCACAAAACACACUGACCAAAUCUUUCAGAAAACACAAGCUCAGAACCAGGGGAUUUGCAUGACAAUACUGCACCUUCUUGCUAGCUGUGACCAUGAAACAAGGCGAAAAUCCAAAUGCAUAGUAGCCACUAAGGAACUUGGUCUAUUCCAAAUAGACACCCUGUUACAAUUUAAAGCUCGAUCUCAAAUGGGAACAGCUGCAGUCUUCAUUACAACCUCAUUUGCCAAGGGAAAUUGAUUUGCCUGAGAACUCCAUGGAAGAGAAAUCCAAUCAACCGAAAAUUACUUCAGUUGCUAUAAUUUUCACCCAUUGCAUCUCGCCCACUGGGAACCCUGAAUCUGUAGCAAUAGCUAAAGCACCACCCUCUCCCCUCAAGCACAAACCAGAGCACAAAACCAAUAGUCCAAAACAAAUCCAGAAACGUGAGCCAGAAACCAAGAUAUGGAUUGAGAUACCAGAAAUGGAGGAAGAAAUAAAACAAGAUAUAGUGUUCCCAUGGCAGAGUAAACAGAGUGAGCCAAGCAUUAAGUGGCAUCCCCUUUCAUAUUGAGAUCCAGGGGUUCUGACCAGUGAUUUAGCAGAAGAGUUUAAAACCAAUACCAAAAUGGGAGUGAGCCAUGUUAAAAUAAACAAAUACGAGAGGAGAGUAACACAGUAAUCACACUCAUAUCUGAACAAACAACUAAGGCUUAGAAAAAUAGAGACAAUCAAGUAGAAUGAAAGAUAAUAAAAGAAAACAAAAAAAAAAAGAGUGAUGAGUGAGAAUAAUCCAAGAAGUUGCAACAAACGUACCUGAGAUGCUCUUUCAAAUUUUCUUUCCUUACCCACUACCUUCAGCAAAACCAGUUUCCUUUUCUCUCUUACUCGAUUUGGGAAUGGCUUUCACUCUAGCUAGAAUCCUUUCCCCUGAAGCCAACCGAGCUUCUCCCUGUUUGUCCUCUCCAUCUCUCCACUACUCUCUGUUCCCUUCAGCUCUCUCACCUCCGUAGUAGCCUAAGCUCAAGGAAAUACUCUCCAGAAAAAUCUCUCUACCCCCUCCUUUCUUUCCCAAAAUAUCUCCAGGCUUGCAGCCCAAGAAAGUUCAAACCUCUCUUUUUUUUUUAACUCCAGGAUCCCCCCUAAAAAAAUAUCUCUCCCUCCUCUCUAAACAACCAAACAAAAGCUCCCCCUGGUUUUCUCUUCUGAACUCUCCUAAAAAAAACCAAACAAAAGCUCUCCCCCCUCCCCUCUGAAAAGCACCUUCCUCUCCUGCAAAUAUCCCCCUGGCAGCACCUCCUCUGGACCACCUCUCUCUCUAAAAAUAUCUCUAACGGCAGCACCCCGGACCACCUCUCCUAUUCUCUCCAGACCGAUCACCUUUUUCUUCCUGGUUCUCCUCCCUAGCUCCAGAAAAAUCCCCCUCAAGCUAAGCAAUCCCUCUCAAAAAAAAUAUCUCCCUCAUCCUGCAGCCAAAAACGCUCCUCUUCUGCAGCUGGCAUGCUGCUCCUCCAUAACAGAAACGUACCCCCUUCUGCAGCUCCCCUCCAACAAGUAUCACCUUCUCAUUCGUCUAUCAACUCCACUAAGCUGAUUCCACAGCAACCAACCAGGAGGCAGCACUUGGCUUUCAAAGAGCCCUCCAACUGGCAAGUGAGCUGCAAAAAUGAGAGAAAAUAACAUGCCCCAAAUGGGGGUCUACAAUGAGGGAUUCUCUAAAGGUAAAAAGAUUGAGUGUUUUAAUUGUGGAAGACUAGGACAUCUAUCUUAUGACUAUCCUAGUCCCAAGGAUAUUAAAAAGUCUAUGUAGGCUACAUAGAAUGGCAUGAACUCCAAUAAGAGUGAUUCCAUGGCUUUCUAAGGACUAUAGUAUGAUCGAAAUGAUUACCUUGCAUUUAUUGCUUCUAUUGAUUCUGAACAUGAUUUAGAUAGUGAGUGUGAAUUUAAUGACGAUGAGAAUGCUUAUUUUCUUGAAAAUAUGGUUGAUGAAUAUCAACAUUUGAUACAAAGUCACAUUAAAGUCAACACUACCUAUGAAUCACCUAAAUUUGAGAUUGGUAUGCCAAAUGAAGAAAAAAUGAACUAUUUUGAAAAUUUUUUAUUUCUUGAGACUGAGCAUCAAUCUCUCAUUGAGAGAAACAAUGUUUUAACUCAAGAAACUAAAUAUUGAAGAAAAUCUAUUUCUUCAAAAAAAUGAGGUAUUUCAUCCUUGGACAAAAAUUUUAAAUGAAGUAAUUAAUAAGGUUAACUUCCAUGGAGAUAAGAGAGGCAUAGGCUAUAUUAACAAGACUGAGACUCCUAAAAGUAGAGAAAUAUUUUUUGUUAAAAGCAAAUAGGAAACUCUUAGCCCUAUGGUGUCUUCUAGCAUAACUCCCCAAUGCACUUAUUGUAAGAAAUCAAGACACUUACAUGGUAGAUGCUUUAGCAAACUGUUUAAGAGGUAUGAGUCACAAUUAAAUAAGAUAGUGAGUAAAUCAAAAUUCCUAAAAAAUUAAAUUUUGAGUAUUAAGAAUGGAAAGAAAGACACCACUAAGCUUAGCACUUUGAAACGCUCCUCUAGUUCAUCAUCUAAGGUUAAACAAGUGUGGUUGAGAAAUGAUAAGCCUAAGUGCAAUGUGGUCUUUAUUGCACUAAGAGCGAGAAACCCUAGUGAAUAGUACUUUAAUAGUGGGUACUCUGGGCAUGUGAUAGGUGACAAGUCCUUCUUCACUUCUUUUGAAGAUUUUAAUGGAAGCAAUGCCAAUUUUGGUGAUGGUAACGUUGCCCGUGUGAGAGACAGUAGUGUAUCUAUUCCUAGAUGUCCUAAUUUAAAUAGAGUCAUCUUUGUUGAUGGACUAAAGGCUAAUCUAAUUAGUAUUAGUCAAAUUUGUGAUAGUAAACUAAGUGUUAAAUUCUCCUAAGAUAUGUGUGAAGUGUUUAGCAAAGAGGAAGAAAUCACUUUCACUAGGCAUAGAAUUAUGAAUGAUUGCUAUGCAAUUAAUUCGGGUUCUAAUACCUCUCUAGUUUAUAGUAGGGCCAACCUUGAUGUCUCAGAGUUAUGGCAUAGAAGGUUAUGACACAUUAACUGUAAGGACCUUGUUCACAUAGCGAAUAAAGACCUCAUUAAAGGCAUCCCAAUGUUUAGUGGACAACCCAAUGCCAUUUGUGGUGAAUGCAUGAAAGGUAAGCAAGUUAGGGGGUCACAAAAGAAUUUAGGGUAACAACACUUCUAGGCCCCUAGAUCUUCUCCAUAUAGACCAUAUGGGUCUUAUGCAAACUGAAAGCAAAAAUGGAAAGAAAUAUAUUCUAAUGGUAGUUUAUGACUUCUCUAGAUAUUCCUUUAUGUCUUUCUUGAGAAAGAAAUAUGAGGCUAUAGAGCAAUUGGAGAUUCUUUGAAGUAGAAUUCAAGUAGAGAAAGGGCAUCCUAUUGUGAGGAUUAGGAGUGAUAGGGGGAGAGAGUUUGACAUUGUAGAAAUCAAUCAUUUUUAUGACUUUAAAAUGAUAAAACUGAAUUGCCCCCUAAAACUUCCCAACAAAAUGUAGUGUCUAAGAGAAAGAACCAUGUCUUUCAAGAAAGUGCUUGAGUGAUGUUCCACACUCAUGAAUUGCUCCAAUCUAUUUUUUUAGCUAAAGCCACUAACACAACUUGUUAUACUGCUAAUAGGCAAAAACCAUGAUUAUUCCUCUUGAACUUUUAGUUUUUCAGUAUCAUUAUUUUAUUAGGUUGGAUUUACAUGCAGAAAGCAAAUUGGGUCUCUCCUAAUGUAUUCAAACAUAUGAUUUCUCAAUUUUCUUUCCUCCUCAAGGACUUCUAUAAUAUCAUUUUACAUUUACUAGGCAACCAUAUCAUGGAUUUCAAACCUAUAUUUGGAUAUUUAGAAUGGCAACAUCAAACUGAAAUUUCCUUCUUAAUAAUAAAAAAUAAAAUAAAAAACAGUUAUGAGAGUAUAUAUGGUUUUUAUGUUUACUAGUUCAUUGUGUAUUAAUUAAUUGAUGAUGUUUUUUUAUUUGAGCAUUUGUUUGAAAAAGUAAAUUCAUCUUCUUUUUUUAUUUUUAUUAAUCAUCUAAGUGGCUCAAGGUGUACAUAAAUCACUUUAUUAUUAUUUUUUGUAUGAUUUUAUUAUUGUUUUUUACAAGUUUAGUGAGAUAUAUUAUUUAUUUUGAAUUACAUUUUUUAUGAGUUUUAUAUUUAAGUAGAGAGUUUGUCAUAGCACCACUCUUUUUUUUCCCAUGUAAUACAAAUUUUUACUCAUAUUGAUAUAACUUUAUCAUAAAUUGUUUAGAGUAUAAAUAUAAAUAUAAAUGUAAAUAAAAGAAUAAGUUCUUCAGUUCUUAGUAGUAAAAUGAAGAUACUAAUAUCAUAGGAAAGAUUAAAAAAUAAAUACAAUUUGAAACUAAAGAGUAGUCCAAUCCAACUAAAGGUACUAACAUCCACCUUUCAAUAAAUUAAACUAAAAAAUAUAAUUGUGCAAUCCAACUAGAUCCACAUGUGCACCUAUUAAUGAAUUUUGAAUUAAAAUGGGUACACUAGGAAAAAAUAAAAUUUGAAAAAGAAAAUAGUCCAAUCCAACUUUAUCCACAUGUCCACCUUCAAAUAAAUUUAACUCAAUGACAUAACUUCAUUCAUUUAUAUUAAAUUUGAUCGAAAAUUACCUUUUCAAUCUUUAUUGUAAUAAUAUAUUUUUAUAGAACCAUACAAUUAUGUGUUUCUUAUUAUUAAUUAUAAAAUUUAAAAUCUUUUCACUUUAUUUAUUUAAGCUUUACUAAAGUAAUUGAGGAAAUAAGGAUGUGUUUGCGAUUAUUUUUUUAAAAUAAUUUAUUUAUCCUUGAAACAAGAAAUUAGUUUUUUAACUUUAAAAAUGUAUUUGACAAGUUUUGACCAAAAAAUAAAAAAUAAAAUAAAAUUUCUUCAUAAUUUGUUUUGAGAAAAUAUUAUUUUUUAUAAUAAAUUUGAUAUGUUUUCAAUUGCUUUUGGUUGAGUUUCCUAAAUAAAAAAAUAAAAUAAAAUAAAUGAAAGAUUCAAAAUACUUUAGAAAAUUUUGUAUUGUACAUAAAUAUAGAGUACCUUUAUAAAUAAUAGGUCAAAAAAAUUAUUUUUCAUAUUUGAGGUUGAAAUAUUUUUUUCUAAAAAUAAUUGAGAAUUGUUUUUAAAACUGGUUCUAAAUUUUUGUUUAUUUAUUAUAUUAAAAUAAUAUUAAUAUUUUCUUAUGGAGUUAAAAUGCAUGUUUAAGUAAACCCAAAUUCAUUCUUCUAAUAUUCAAGGUAAAAGGUAUUUAUCAAGUUUUUGUAUAUUAAAAUAUUAUUUUUCGAUAAAAAACAAGUGAAGAGUUGAGUGGUUUCUUAUCAUUUUUCAAAACAAUUUUAGUGUUGCUAGUAGGAAGAAAAUAGAGAAACAUAAAUUCACACCUCAAAAGUAGAAAAUAUCUCUCGUCUUCUCUUUUAUUUGCGACUAGAACAUUUUUCUUAAUUACUUUGCAUUUUAUAUUUUUUCUUUGAUAGGGUUCACAAGAAUUGUCUUGUAAGGAUAGGCUUUAUUUUGCUUGAUUUCUAAAUUGGGUUGACAAAUAAUAAGAGAAAGUUCUAGUAAUUUAUUGUUACACAUGUGAAUGUCCUAAGUUGGUAUAAUUUCUUUAAGGAAAUGGAUUACAUAAAUAGGUUAUUAAAAUGAUUAUAUGAAAUUAUCAUUACGGAAUUUUUUUUUCUUUUCUUUGUUUUUAAAUAAAGAUUAUUAUAAGAUUAAAACUAAGGAGGGUAUUGCAUUAGGUCUUCUCAAGUCAUCCAUGGAUUCAAAAGAAUGAUCUAAAUGUUAAGUUGUGUGGAGUCUAAUUAUUAUUUUAUUAGUAAGGAUAUUUUAAGUUGGGCUAUUUUGAAGAUUUUGCACAUGUGAUUUAGUUACCUUAUUUAUAUUAUGCAAGGGUAGACAACUUUGAGAGGGUCUUUUUUAAAGUAUUGAGAAAGAUUAGAAAAACGCAAAGAGAAAAACUUGGAUGGUGAGGUGUUUUGGGAUUCUCUUGUACAUUUUUUUCAUCAUAAUGAAAAUUUGCAGCAACUACAAGUGGACGUAACUCUCACAUUGAGAGUGAACCACUAUAAAUAUGUUACAACCCGAAUAAAAGAUCCCUAGAAUCCCUCAAUCUUUGGUUUCUAUUCCUUAUUAGUUUUUAUUUAGUAUAGGAAAUAAAGGAUCCUUAGGAUUAAUUUAUAUUUUAUUUAGCUUUUAUUCCUAAUUAGUUUUUAUUUAGUUUAGGGAAUAAGGGAUCCUUACAAUUAAUUUAUAUUUUAUUUAGCUUUUAUUCCUAAUUAGUUUUUUUUAAGUUUAGGGAAUAAAGGAUUCUUAGGAUUUAUUUAGUUUUUAUUUUAUUCAGUUUCUAUUUUUAUUUAGUAGUCUAUAUAAAUUAGGGAGAGUGUAAUGGAAAGACAAAAAAAUAUUGUCAAUAAGAAAAAUUUGUUAUUUCAUUUUUGCAUCUUCUCUUUAGGUAAUAAGAAUUGGUAUUAGAGCACAGUCUUGGAACCAAUCAUGUCGGAAAGGACUAGGGCACAAGGACAAUGAAGACUUGAAAAUACUAUUAAGGAGUUGUAAGAUUCAUUGGAUAAACAAGCAACCACUUUAUCACAAUUUCAAGAUUCAUCGAAUAAACAAGCAACUACUUUAUCAAAACUAUUGAGAAUUGUUGUAGCAAUAAACCUGAAAUUCGAACAUAUGACUCCUAGAAUAGAAGAGUUAGGUAAUGGGGAUAGUGCUUCAAUCAAUAGAAGUGGGAUAGGCUAUCACUCACAUGGUACAAACUCUUUUCAAACCAGGUUUUCCAAACUCAAUUUUCCAAAUUCUGAAUUGAGAAUCCUAGUGGGUAGAUUUAAAAAUGAGACAGACUUUUGAAAAUUAAUGGAAUUGGGGACAAAGAUAAGGUAAGAUUUUCUUCCUUACAUUUAGAAGGAAGGGUCUUAGAAUGGUUUCAAGGGUAUGAGGCUAGUAACAAGGAAAUCGAUUAGACACAGUUUUCCAUAAAUGUUGAUUCUAGGUUUGGCCCUAGUGUUUAUGAUAACCCUAUUAGGAAAAUAACCAAUUGAAAUAGGUUUCUACGAUUAGGGCAUACCACGAGCAGUGUGAAGCGUUGAUGGUCAAAACUAGUGGGUUAUCAGAGGAAUUUUUUAUUCAACGUUUCAUUAGUGGCUUGAAAGAAACAAUUAAAAAUCAAGUCACCAUGUUUUGAUGGAACACACUAACCCAAACCAUUGGGUUAGCCUUGUUGCAAGAAAGGACAAUGGAAGCAAUUUUCAAGGAAGUAAAGGACUCUAAUGAUAGUGGGGAGAGUACAAUGAACUCUAUGGGAAUCAAAAUGAAUCAAAAUAGUCGAUUACCAUCUAUUAAGAGGAUUUGAGCUGCAAAAAUGCAAGAGAAACGGGACAAGACUUUAUUAUUAUUGUGAUGAGAAGUAUGAACCUCAUCAUAAAUGUAAAAAGAAGCAAACUUUUCUGUUAGAUGGUUAUGAAAAAAAAAUGGAAAUGACAUGUGAAGUCGAAAAUAAUAUUAGGGACGAUGAUCUUGUGGUUUCAAUCAAUGCAAUAUUUGGUUCAACAUCUCAUUAAACCAUGAGAAUCUGUGGCAACAUCAAGAAGAAGGUCGUCACCAUACUAUUUGACUCAAGAAGCACCCAUAAUUUCCUUGAUCUUAUAAUGGCUGAAAGAACAGGAUGCUCAAUACAAACUACCAACCCCAUGAAGGUGGUAGUGGUGGAUGGAACUAGAAUUACUAGUGAUGGAAUUUUUCAGCAAUUGACAUGGAGCCUCCAAUGGAAGGAAUUUUAGGCAGAUUUGAGGUUCAUACAUUUGGGUGGGUGUGAUAAGGCAUUGGAAAUUCAAUGGCUAGUUCAAUUGGGACUCAUUAGGAUUUGAAGAACUUGAGAAUGGAAUUUAUUGUUGAUGGAAGGAAAUUCAUGUUGAGAGGUGCAACUACAGAUCCCAAGAAGUUAGUGUCAACAGAUCGGAUUCAAAAAGAUUCAAGGCGUAUAUCUCUAGCAUCUAUAGUUCAAAUUUUCUCUAUACAAGGGGAUGGGAAAAAUAAAGUUGAAAAUGUAUGAUAGGGCAGUUGUCCAACUUGUUUCCAAGAGACAUAACAUAGAAACAUGCUUACAAGAUUCAACAAAAGUUUCCUCAAUUUUAACCUUAAGGACAAGGCUUCUGAUAGGGGAGAGAAUGUUACAACUUGAAUAAAGGAUCCCUAGGAUCCCUCAAUCUUUGGUUUCUAUUCCUUAUUAGUUUCUAUUUAGUUUAGGAAAUAAAGGAUCCUUAGGAUUAGUUUAUAGUUUAUUUAGUUUCUAUUCUUAAUUAGCUUUUUUUUUAGUUUAAGGAAUAAAGGAUUCUUAAGAUUAGAUUUUAUUUUAUUUAGUUUCUACUUUAUUCAAUUUAUAUUUCUAUUUGGUAGUCUAUAUAAAAUAGCAAAAGUGUAAUGGGAAAAACAUGGAAAAAUAUUGUCAAUAAGAAAAUUUUGAUUUCUCAAUUUUGCAUCUUCUCCUUAGGUCAUAAGAAAAUCUCGUGUGUUCUUGUGCUUUAAUUUUUUGCAUUGGUUUAUUGUCGCUUUCAGAAAAUAGGAUUAAAGUGUUUUAAUCCUAACACUAAAAAAAUGUUUGGUUGAAAAAUAUAAUUUUUUUUAGUCUUUAUAUUAUAAGGAGAGAAAAAUAAAGCUUCUUGUGCUACUAUUUGUUUGUAUUAAAAAAAAACUAGUAUAUCUUACAAAAUUAUAAAAAACUUUGAAAUCUUUAUAUAUAUAUAUAUAUAUAUAUUAUAUUUUGCACAAUGUUAAUAAGAAUAACAAUUAUAUAAUAUGUAAUGAUAUGAUUAAUUAUUGCAAACUAAUUUAUAACGAUUUAUAUUAUUGGAUGAUGAACACAUGAGUCAUCAUGUCAUCUUCAUAAUUCUACCUUGAGAAAAGAAGAAUUACAUGAAAAGCUAGCUCACUUGAAUACAUUUAUAAAUAGAAAAUAUUAAUAAUUUUUAUAUAUAAUAAUAUUUUUCUUAAAAAGUAUGAAUUCACUUUAAAUCUUUUAAUAGAUCGGGGUUUUUAAAUAAUUUUUUAAGGUCAUUAUCUGUGUAAGGUAAUUUUGAAUAAGUUUUACAUUUUAUAUCAAAGUUACUAUUAUUUUUAUUUUUAAAAAUAAAAAACGAGAAGUGUAUCCAAACCACACUGUGGAUAACUAUUACGUUGUUGUGGUCCAAUUACUUUCAUGUGAUGGACACCUAUAAUCUAACAUAAUAUUAUACGUUUAUGUUCUUGUACCUUGUUGGAAAUGAUUUAAUACAAGGAUUAAAGCUAAAAACUAGUAAUAUUGAUAAACAAAAUUAGAAUAAAGGCAACAUAAGGUUUGAAAGGAGAGUUAAUGUAUUUGAAAACCCAAUUUAGGCUCGGUUUUAAAUAGAUGUGUUAUAAUAUAACACACAAAGUCAAAGUUUGAAAGCAACUUGAGUUAGCUUAUCAAAAGACUUUUUCUUGUAUAAUAACUUUGCUUUUCUAAUAAGCUCAUCCUCCUGCCAUUUAAAGUGAAAUGUAUGACUUGAUCUUACGGGAAGAUAAAACUAUGUGUUUUUUACUAAUGAAAAUUAAUUUAAUUGAGGAAUGUUGAAUUAGACAAUACCACAUAUGACUAAGACAUUUCUCUAAUCUUUUAUGCAUGUUGGCUUUUAGACUUGUUAAACCUUUUUUAUAAGAAAAUAAUUAAAAUAAUUCAUAAAACAUAGUGAUUAUAUGGAUGGUAUUAACAUGUAAAUUAGGUGACAAUGAAAAUUAAUUAUGACUUUAUAAUUGAUUAAUCUUGAAAGGAAUAACAUAUCUUCUUCCAAAAAAGGCUACACACAAAAAUUUGAUAAGAUUAAUGUAUUUUGAAAAUUAAAAGAAAGUUUGUGGCUUAUGAAUUCCCAAGGUAAAUCAUAAAAAGAAACGUUGAUAUUGAAGCAAACAUAGUUAUUUUUUUAUUUUUAAUUAAAGAACCGGUAGUACUUUAUUGUUUAACCAUCAAAUAAGAAUGAGAACUAAUUCAUUACCCCAAAUCAAUACUAAAUUUAACAAAAAAACUUAUGAGAAUUAUCUAAGUUUUAAGACUUAAUUUUAUUUACUCUUUAGAUUUCUUUAUGAUUAAUUUUUGGAAGUAUUGAUAGCAUAUAAACUUUGAUCAAUGAUGCUUUCAAAAGAAGAAAACUUUAAGAAGAAGUAUUGUAAUAAUUUUUUUACUAUUAUUUGUGGAUUUUUUUAGAAGUACACACAAAACCUACUUUGUGUUGGAUCGAUAAUUUUGUAUACAUUGUUUUUUUUUUUUCUUAAUCUUGUAUUGAGAUGGUGAAGACUUGAUCAAUUUAUUUGUCCAAAGGGAGUUUGGUUUGAUUCAAUAACCAAAAUCUAUAAAUUAAAUCUUGGAAAAAUACUAAUCCAACAUUGAUAAAAUCCUUUUAUUAACAAAAUUAGAAUAAAUAAAAUUCAAAUUUAAUACUCUCAUAAUUAAUUUUUAGGCUAUGUAAAGGAUAAGAAAAUAGUCUUUCUAUUAUAAAACUGACUAUAUGUAAUGAAAAUAAAUUUCAAAAAAUAGGUAGAAAAUGAUCUUCUUCCUUCAUGAUGAUGUCCAUAUUGCUUUAACCCAUAUAUGAUACAUAAAAAUUCUUUUUAAAAAAAAUUAAAUGCAGCUCUAGUAAAUGACUUCUUACAUCCAAAUAUCAUAUAUAAAUUUUACUUUGUAAAAGUGCCAUAAGGAGGUCUCAUAAACCAAUUAUUUUAAAACUUAUUCCUAAUCAUUUUCCUUCACUGUUAGUGGACCUUUCAUGCAGUGAAAAGUCCUACACAAAUUAAAUAAUGUUAACAAGUUGUUGAAUAUUUUACCCAUAUUUAUUUCUUCACUUAUACAUAUGUGAUAUGCAUCAUAUACGAUAUACAAAUUUCAUUUUCAAAAAAGCCCAUUAGAGUUCAUAAAAAAACUUCUCUCAUCCACAUUAAACUUCUCCAUUCAUCAAUUUCAUUUAAUUAAAUAAACAAAUCAAAUCCAUUACCUUAAACAAACAAUUAUUUUAGUAAAAUUCAUCCAUGGAGAGGGUGUGCAUUGCUCAAGAAAACAUUAUUAAUUGUGUGAUGAUUAUGAACUCCUAUAAUCUAGUUAGAAUAAUAUUGCUAGUUCUCAUUUACUCAAAAAUCCAUUUAUUUUAGUUUUUAUGCUUUACAAAAUGGCUUGAGGUUGUUGCAUAUCAUUGUUUUUCUGUUAAGAAGCUGAAUUGAAUGCUUUCUGGUUUGGUUAUGUAAUCAAAUUUGCAUCCACAAUUGAGAAUAUUUUAGACAUUAAACAACUUACUGAGUUAGAUUCAUAAUCCAAUAAUUAUUAAUUUUAAGAUUUGAUUAUUUAAUGCGAAUUCCUUUAGCAUUAUAUUUUAACAAGUAAUGAAAAGAUAUUACAAAAUUUUAUAGGUGUGGGAGGAUAUUAGAGUUAGGUGUAGUUCUUCUAGAAAAUAUAUUGAACACAAUAUCUUUGGUCAAAAAAGAAAAGGCCUAGGAUCAUUGAAUUGAAUAAGGCAAAAAGACAUGAUUAGGUAGGACAUUUAUCUAACCUUUUAUCCAUCUUGAUUCUUACACUUUGGACCUUUCUUAUAAAAGAAUAAUUGAAAUGUUAAAUACAAUGAUAAUGUGGAUGACAUUAAGAUAUGAAUUAGGUGAUGACAAUAGUUAUUUUAUCACACCAAUUCGCUUUUUGAAAAAAGUAUUGUUCAUCAUAUAUUACAACAUUUAUAAAUAUGUCAUAUAUCAUCAUCUUAACAAAAAUAUGAAUUUAAAGUGGAAUCACCAUCUUAACAAAAAUAAAUCCAAAGUAGAAAAAAGAUGUAAUAUAGCUAAAUGCUACUAAUAUAAGAACAACAACAACAACAACAUCAAUAAUAAGAGAAAUUGCUAGCGGAAGCAAAUGUUUACAAGAUGAGUCACAAGGCUCAAAACGUCUAAAUUAUUAAACUAAAAUACAUAAUAGAAAUAGACUAUAUGUCCCACGAGUCCAUCAAGAAAAGCAAGAGCUAGAUGAAGGUCUAUUAAGGAAAACAAUUGAGCUAGAUGUAUAGUGACUUGCUCUUUGAAACUAUUGUACUAAAGUCUUCACCUAAAAAACAUUAAAUCUACAAGAUCAAUUGAAUAGUCAUGAUAUAGAAGUGUUAAGAUGACCAAUCUACAUCAUACAUAGUUCUAAAACAUAUCAUAUAAUAAAUUUAGUAAAUAGAAAUUAGUAUAGAAUAGUCAUAAUAGCAUUUAAAGAAAAUAUGAGAUGUAAUCAUAGGUCUUGACAUAUCUAUGGUUAAUUCAAUGGCAAUAAGAAAGCUUAUUACUUGUGAAUCACCUAAUCCUUAGAGUCUCACUACCUUGUGACUAGGUUCUUCGAUAAUACUAAAAGUUCGAAAACCUAAUUCAAAGAAAUGUGUGGUACCAAUCUUGAUACAAAGGCGUUGGGGUUCUCAUCAAAGGUAAACAAUUGUGUAUGCAUGUGAUAUAAAUUAUCAAGUUUAGAUAAAACCCCUAGCUUUAAGGGCACAUGUGUGCACACACACACAAAAAUUAGAGAGAGAAUUGGGGUCAAUUUGUUUAAACGGAAUAUUAUACCAAACUGUAGCAAACUAAUGUCCAAACAAUCAUUUAUAAUCUUAUAAUUUAUUCACAAAAUUUCAAUCAAUAAUUUGAAGUGAACAAAUAAUUCAUAAAUUAAAAAUCAAUCCUCAUAUUGUAGGAACAUGGAGAAAUUAAACUUGCUAUUUUAUUUUUAACAAAUUAAUAUUGUUAAUGUGAAACCAAGGUUUGGUUAAUCUCGGUUUGAUGAUAACAAGACAAGGUUUGAAACUAAUGAUUAUAUUUCAAGUGUGAUUUGGUAAGAAGAUUUUCAAAGUAACAAUCACAAAGACAAAAUCAAGUCAAAGAGAAAUUAAUAAGAAGAAGAACCAAAAGAGAAGUGUUUUUCAAGACCUAAGUUUCAUAAGAUCUCUUUGUAAGGUUGAUGGUGCAUUAGGUUUUUUAUGCAUUACGCUCUUUAUUUAUGCACUAAAAUCAUCCAAGAGUUAUUUUGUUUUAAAUCUUUUAAAAUUGGAUGAUUUCUUGUUUUCAACUAAAACCUUGUGCCAAAUGGUUUCCAAACUUGUUUAAAAGGUUUUAAGUUGAAAAUGAUGGUUGUUGAGCCAAAAACGGAUCAACCAGUUGAACUAAAUGAGAACUAGUCGACACCUAGCUCAACUAGUCGAGGGAUGCAAAAAUCUUCUUUCUCUUCCAAAACGUUUAUUCAGCUGGUCAAGGUUAAACCUCAACCGGUCAAAGUCCAGUCAAGGGAUGAUUGAGGUCCAACAGUCACCUAUCAAGCAUUAAAUGCUAAUGGCUAGUCAAUCGGUAAAACCCCAGCUCGACCAGUCAAACCCCUAAUGGCUAGUUUAGUAUUUUUCCUCUAUAAAAAGGCUUCAAUCUUCAUUGUUUCAAAAGCUUAACUUUCCUAAACCUUUUUUGAAUAUAUUUAAGCCUUGGAAGAGAAUUUUUUUAAUACACUAUUGUUCUAAAACUUGCAUAUCAUUAGUGCACCUUUCAAUCCUAGUUUUUCUUAUAUCAUUUGAGCCUAAAGUUUUGUAUUGGGAUUUAGUGAGAUCAUUUAUUAUCUUCUUUUGUAAAUCUUUGAGAGGAAGAAUCUAAGUGUGAGGUAUCACUUAUGGAUUCUCAAGUAUGGGGUAUCACUUGAGGGGUUGUUCAAGAAUGAGGUAUCUCUUGAGGAUUGUAAAGGGUGCUUAGAGCCAAAAGUCCAAGAGGGUUGAUUGGAUCCAUAAUCCAAUUGUAUUGUUUGAAAGCUUGUAUUGGAAGCCUUGAAUUAGUGGAACUUCAAGCUUGGGAUUGAAGCUAGAGAAGAGUAGGUGUAGGGCAGGUUAUGCUGAACCACUAUAAAAUCUUGUGUUUUCAUUUUAUUUUCCCUACUUCCCUUACUUUAUAUGCAAUUGUUUUUAUAUUGUUUUUAUUAUACAUUUGUAUAUAAUUGUUUAUUGCAUUCACAUAAUAAAAAUUUUCAAAGAGAGACCAUCACCUUAUUCACCCCUGUUGUAGUAUGUGGCUCAUAUUUAAGCAAAAGGCAUAUGGAGAAAAAUAGGCAAAUAUCGAAGCAAAGUGGAGUGGAACAGAACAAAGUGACAACAUUUGCCAUUUAGGCUUGUACUUCUAUUGUUGUGGGCGAAUGAUAGGUUGGGAGGGUGCGGGAGACAACACCCCUACGGUACAAUUCAGGGGUAUUUUUGGAAUCUCAUUACCCAAGGGUUAGUAUAAAUACCCUUUUUAUGUAACCCUAAUUUUAAUAUAGUGAAUAUCCUCUUCCAUGUUUCCGUGGACGUAGGCAAUUAGCCGAACCACGUUAAAUUGCGUGUUCUUCUUUCUUGUUUUUCAAUUUUUCGCCAUUAAUCGUUGCACGGAUUUCAACAACCUCCUCUCUACGGUGAUUACCUUAGAAUGGAUUAGCCUAAUUUUUCUAAUAGUUAAAAAUUAUAAAUUAAUAUUAUAUUAUUAAUUUAUUUUAUAUUAUUUUGAAAAAAAAAUAUUACUAAAAUUGGGGAAGAAUAUAAAAUUUGGAGGGUACACUAAUUUUUAAAUUCGCCUUUUUAAAUUCUAUCAAUUCUAAGUUACACUAGUAUUACACUAUAUAAUAUUUUGAUGUCCUCAAAUUGUGGAUUAGAAUUAAAAAAUAAUAUUAUUAUUAAUUUAUUAUGUAGUGUUGGUAGUAGAGGACAUGGAGAAAAAGAAAGUGAAAGAAUUUAUCAUCGAACUUGAAGAUGAAAUUCAUGAGAUUCUAGGUAUGGUUAGUCGUUCUAACCAUGAUUGGUAGAAUAUUUAUGAGAAGGUGUUAAAUGAAAUUAGCUACAUGUAUGCAUGGAAUCAUCCACGUGACCUACUUCCAGGUAUAAGUUAAGUGAGAUUGUCUUGCGCUUAUAAAGUUUGUAAAAAUUGUAAUUAUUUAAAUUUUUUUUAAAUUUGUUUGGCAAUUUAGCUGCCAAUGCAUAUUAAAAUAGGGUUUUCUAAAUGUGCAGGUGCAAGAAUGUCAACAUUAUGAAGAAAACUAUGAAGAGUAGUUCAUGGUGCAAAGGUACACAAUACACAACCUAGAACUGAAGUGCAUGAUUAUGGUUAUUCCUUAUUCAAAUAAGUGAAGGUCUUUGUACUUGGGCAAUUGUAUUUGCAACUUAUUGAUUUUUUUUAAACAGUGUCCAUUUGUUGACAAAAACAUAUAUAACUAAGCAACAUGUUAUAUUCUGAAAUAUAUUUUUUAUGAUUUCUUUUUUGUUUUUAACAUAUAUUGUCUAUAAUAUUUUUGUACCCUCUUUACAUUCACAUGGUAAAUUGAUUUGCAUUGUAAGUAAUUAAAUUAUUUCCAUUACAUAGUUUAUAAAUAAAUUAUUCCCAUUGAAAAUUUUAUUCACAAGGUAAAUUGAUUGGCAUUGUAACUAAUUAAAUUAAAUUAUUUCCAUUACAUAGUUUAUAAAUAAAUUACUCCUAUUGAAAAUUUUAUUGACGAGGUAAAUUAACUUGCAUUCUAAACAAGUAAAUUAUUUCCAUUGUAAAUAAAUUAUUCCCAUUGUAAAUUUUAUUGACAAGGUAAAUUAACUUGCAUUCUAAACAAGUAAAUUAUUUCCAUUGUAAAUAAAUUACUCCUAUUGAAAAUUUUAUUGACGAGGUAAAUUAACUUGCAUUCUAAACAAGUAAAUUAUUUUCGUUGUAAAUAAAUUAUUCCCAUUGUAAAUUUUAUUGACAAGCUAAAUUGACUUGCAUUGUAACUAAUUAAAUUAAAUUAUUUCCAUUACAUAGUUUAUGAAUAAAUUAUUUCCAUUGUAAAUUGCAUGAUAUUAAAUUACAUGAUAUAUGGAAAUUUCAUUUAACUCAUACGCCCUAAAGGCAAUUCGAGGGCCCAAAUCAUAUUAUGAGGAAGACUCCUACUAGAAUGAGAGUGGGUAUGCUCGAUGGUCGACUGUUCAUUGGAAUGACUAGCCGAAAUCCAAACAUCCAACUAUUUCGAUUUUUAUGCCAUUCUUUAUACUAAUUGAGGCGUUUUUCUUAGGGAACUUGGAUCAGUAGUUCCUAUCUUGUUCAUGGCUUAAAAGCCCCCUCAAUAUGAACAUCAUUACCCACAAUACGUGAAAAUCAAACCAUUAACCCACAAUCCAUAGCCAUGGCACCCAAACGACCUCUAGCAAUAUAGGACACUAGGAAAGACAAGAAACCAGUAGUUAAAUGCGAAGCUAAGGUUUGGAAAAAUGCGACAUUUGAUACCAACAUGUUAAGAAACCCAAAGCUACCAAGGAUAUUCUCUUUAUAUUUCUCCAAUAUAUGUGUCACUCCAGAUAGGAACACUAACUUUUCUGAGUUAGGUCAUUUCAGAUUUGAUCGUCUUUUUCCACAGAUGGGAUGACUACCUAUUGUGUCCCUAAAAGAGUUUGUUUAUCCAAGGCUAGUUAGAUGUUUCUAUUCCAAUAUGAAAUUCUAGGAAGAAUGAUCUAUUAUUAUAAGCAUGAAUGGUAUAGAAAUAAGUUUGAUAUUCAUGAGCUUUAUAGGAUUUUAAUGAUUCCAAAUGAUAGAUUGUGUUUAUUUGAAUAAAAAAAUGCCCUAAGGUUCAUGGUUUUCAACAUACCAAAGCCAUUAUGACUAACCGACCACCAGCUCACAACUUGAUUGUAUUAAGUAGAAUUCUACAACACAUUAUCAGUUACAUAUUCAUUUUGAAGGAUGGACAUUGGGUCGAUGUUUCAUUUUUUGAGGUGUUUUUGAUAGACAAUAGUUCAGAAAAUUAAUAUGGGUUAUAUUAUUUUCCAACAUAUGAAAGUGAAGAUUUUGUCCUACUAUAUGGAAUGUUUACCAUCAAGAUCAUGACUUUAUUUAAUGUUAAUUUACGCUAAGAGACUAACACUAAAAAGUUGAAGUUGUUUGACACUUACAAUAUCGCCUCCCUUCAUUAUAUGCACUUUGAGCAUAAGUCGAAUAGUACAUGGGGAAGGAAGUCUUCUAUGGAUCUUGUGGGGGAAGAGGUGAUUUCAAAGGAAGAGGAUAAGAAUUGCAAAAUGGAGGGAGGAGAUAGCCAAGAGGGCAUUGGCACUAAAUUAGAAAAGAAAACUGAGAUAGCCUCUAAUAUUAGAGUUGAGCAUACAAUGCCUCAAGUUAGAGCAAGUACAGAGGCCUUUGUUGAACAUCUUAUGCCUACACAUAUGAAAGAUUCUGAGUCUUUGGAUAACUUGACCACAAAAAUAAGCUCCAUUGGUACAUGUUUGGAGGAAAUGGCUUUGACGAUUGAUGUCCAUUUUGUUGGAUUUAAGGGUAUGGAAACAAAUGAUUAGCCCAAAAGACACAAACAAAUAACAUAAUUAAUAAGAAGAAAAACUUAUCAGCUAAGGCGUGACAAAUAUUGUCCUUGAAAUAGAUCCACCCUCCUUAAAGACGAACUCGGUGCAUUAGGGUACUAGUGGUCUACCUUCAGGAUUCAAUAGCUAGAUCUCGCCUUGGGUGCACUCUGUAAGUGAGAUGUGUACAGCUCAGGUUUUGAAAAAAUUCCUCCAGAUAGACGUAUGAAAAGACCCUCUGAAAAACUCUCUAAAAAAUUCUCUGAAAAUUUGGUAUUCGUAUUUAGAAAGUAAGGGGUGACCUGCUUUUAUAGGCCACUAAUACAGUCUCAACGGGACUCUACUUGUAAUCAGAACAUGACUCAAAAUGGAAGGUGAUUCUACUUAUAAAAGGAAUGGGGCUCCACUAGCACAAUCCCAAUAGGACUCUUCCCAAAAAUAUAAGACUAAUAGAAUAAAAUAAAAUAAAAAUAAUCCACAAUAAGACUCUUCCCAAAAAUAAAAUAAAAUAAAAAUUACUUACACUCUUCCUACAAUCCCCCACAGAGUGUAAACGUGAUUUUUUUUUUCUUUUUUUUUAGGAAAAAAGAAUCUAAUGCAUCAGUACUGGUGCCCAAAGGCUAUAAACCAAUCUUAGAACAAAUAAGUAUUGAAUCACAAAACACGGUGAAAAUAAAUUUCUAUGAACCAAUGUUUCUUGAUGUAACUCAAGGGACUUUUAUUCACAUUGGUUUUCUCAACUUUACUAUGAUCUGUACAAAAUGGGUUGGCACAAAUAGGUCAUGCACCCUGCCUAGAUAUUCAUGAGAGCUCUAGAAAACCUGCCUAAGUUCUCAUAGGAAGUGACCCCACCUCCACUCUCAUAUGGUGAAUCCAUCAAGUAUGUUCUACCUUUAAACAUACCAUCCAUAAGGAAUAUGGUAUUCAUUAAGAGUAAACACUCAACCUUAGUCAAUGCAGAAUAUACUCUAUCUACAUCAUAAGGAUAGACUCUCAUACAAUUAGAGUUGAUAGAGCACCUCAAGUCAACAAGUGAUUUGUUAUUACCCAUAUGAACCUACUUCAUGGAAUUUCCAUUCUAAUAGGUUGGGUUACCACCACUCUUGACUUCUAUAAUAGGCAUAAGCCCCAUUCCCCUCAAUGUUUCUUCCACUAGUUUCUUAUUUAAUGGUUUGGUCAAAGGAUAUGCCAAAUUCAACUCUAACCUCACAAAUUCUAGCGAUAUAACCCUGUUUCAAGCAGCUACCGCACAAUAUUGUGCCUUAGGCGUAUAUGCCUGUUUUUCCCAUUAAAUAUUUUACUCUUAGCCUUAGCAGUUGCAACUUGGCUAUCACAAUGCAUAGACACAAAUGGGGAUGGUCACAUCCAUAAAGGGAUAUCUACUAAGAGGUUUCUAAGCCACUCAACCUUAGAACUUGUCUUUUCUAAGGCAAUAAACUCAACCUCCAUAGUAAACCGAGUAAUGCAAGUUUUCUUGGCAGACUUCCAAGAAACUGCACUUCCACUAAGGAUGGAAACAUAUCCACUAGUGGAUUUCAUCUCAUUUGAAUCCGAGAUCCAAUUUGCAUCAAUAAAUCCUUCAAAGACACUUGGAAAUCCACUAAAGCACAAACCAUAGUUAAUGGUGCCUCUAAAUACUUAAGGACUCUACGAACAACAGUUUAAUGGUCCUGAUUAGGACUUUGGGUGUACUGACUCAAUCUUUCUACUACAUAAGCAAUGUCAGGUCUAGUAUAGUUUAUUAAGUACAUUAGGUUUCCUAUGAUCUGAGCAUACUCUAUUUGGGCAACACUAUGUUCUCUAUUUUUCUUCAGCUAUGAGUUGGGAUCAUAAGAAGUUGACACUAGUUUACAAUCAAAGUGUUCAAACUUCCUUAGGAUUUUUUCAACAUAGUGCUCUUGAGAAAGUUUAAGCCCAUUAGGUGUUCUAUUUAUUUUAAUUCCUAGAAUCACCUCUGCCUCUCCUAGGCCUUUCAUAUCAAACUUAGAACCUAGGAAUUUCUUGGUCUCACACAUAACCUCUAGGCUAGUUCCAAAGAUCAGCAUGUCAUCAACAUAAAGGCAGAUAACUACACAUGUGCUAUCCUCAUACUUGUUGUAGAUACACUUAUCAGCAUCAUUAAUGGAAUAUCCAUUAGUUACUAACACAUGAUCAAACUUGUUGUGCCACUGUUUGGGAGCUUGUUUUAACCCAUAUAGUGAUUUAACCAACUUACACAACUUUUUCUCCUUCCUUGGAACUACACAACCCUUAGGUUGUUCCAUAUAAAUUUCCUCUUCCAAAUCCCCAUUCAAGAAUGUAGUCUUAACAUCCAUUUGGUGUAUCACCAAAUUAUGAAUGGAAGCUAGAGCGGUCAAUACUCUAAUUGAUACUAUUCUAGUCACAGAGGCAAAGAUGUCAAAGUAAUCUAUAUUAUUUCUUUGUUUAAAGUCUUUGGCAACUAAACGAGCUUUAUACUUCUCUAUGGACCCAUCUUGUUUUAACUUUCUUUUAAAGAUCCACUUACAACCAAUAGUCUUGCACCAGGAGGUAAAUCUACUAACUCUCAUACAUGAUUGAUUCAAUUUCACUAUUAAUGGCCUCCUUCCAGAAUGGUGCAUCACGAGAAGUUAUAGCUUCUUUGUAGGAUCUAGGGUCAUCAUCCAUUAGGAAGGUGUAGAAACCAUCUCCAAGGUUUAUUUCUUUCCUAUCUCUUUUACUCCUUCUAGGUUCAAAUUCAAAAGGUUCAAUAGACUUGUCUCUACUUGUGUUUUGAACUUGUUGUUCACCAUUUAGUUUCAUAGGAAAGAUGUUUUCAAAGAAAUCUGCAUUCUUUGUUUCUAUUAUAGUAUUGACAUCUACAAGACUGUUUUCUGACUUAGUAACAAGAAACCUAUAUGUCGCACUAUUCUCAACAUAGUCAAUGAACAUUGCAUUAAAGGUUUUAGGACCUAGUUUUCAUUUUUUAGGUUUAGGAAGAAGAACUUUAGCUAAACACCCCCACACUUUCAAGUAUGCUAUAUUAGGUGCAUAACCCUUCCACAACUCAUAAGGUGUUUUACCAGUUUUCUUGUAAGCUAUUCUAUUUUGAAUAUGGCAAGCGGAUAGGAUAGCUUUCCCCCACAAGUUCAAGAGUACUCCUGAACUUACCAACAUUGCAUUCAUUAUUUCUUUUAAGGUCCUAUUUUUCCUUUCUACUACUCCAUUAGACUCAGGGGAAUAAGGAGGAGGAGUUUCAUGAAUGAUCUCAUGAUCUUCACAAAAACAAUAAAGGGUUGGACUCAUACUCUCCUCCCCUAUCAGUUCUAAACCUUUUAAUUUUCUUAGUUGAUUUUCCACUUCAUUUUAGUACUUGAUGAAAGCAUCUUUUGCUUCAUCUUUGUUUCUCAAAAGAUAUACCCUUGUAUACCUUGAGUAGUCAUCUAUGAAAGUUAUGUAGAAUCGUUUACCACCUCUAGUCAUCGUAUUUUUUAGGUCUCCUAAGUCACUGUAUAUUAAACUUAGUAGAUCUGAUUCUCUUUCAAUUGAUUUGCAAGAUUUCUUUGUGGUUUUAGAUUCUACACAAGAUUCACAUUUUCCAUGGUUUUCUAAGGACAAUUUAGGGAUUAAACUCAAUUCAACCAUUUUCUUCAUAUACGAAAAGUUCACAUGUCCUAGUCUACCAUGCCAAAUAUCACAAGAGUCAACUAUGUAAGCAGAAGAAGAAGAUGCAUUAUUAUUGAUAAUAUCAUAAACAUUCAAUAUAAAUAAACCCUAAUUACAAUAGUUUUUUCCCACAAAUGCAUCGUUCUUGGUUAAAACUAUUUUAUCAAAGUCAAACUAGAUCCUCACUCCUGCUUUCCCAAGCAAAGAUACUGACACCAAGUUCCAGCGAAUAUCUGGCACAUGAAGAACAUCACUGAGGGCAAGCACUUUUCCAAAGGUUAGCUUGAAGAGAACUUUCCCUUUGCCAAUCACUGGAGUAGAUCUAGAAUCAACCAUGAACACUUGUUCUUCUCCUUCCUUUAUAACGGUAUAGGAAGUAAAUGCACUUUUUCCCACAUAUGUGCCUGGUAGCCCCAGAGUCUACCACCUAGUCCUUCAUAUUGGUGACCAUGCUCACCUCAGAGGAGAUUACUGUUGUGAUCACCUCUGCCUCUGCCAGAUUUGCCUUUGAAUUGGACUUCUCAAUUCUCUUCCUAUGGCGACAUUGAGCUGCAUAGUGUCCAAACUUGCCACAAACAAAGCAAUUACCCCGUUUUUUAAUAGUUGAGUUUUGUACCUUGUUUGAUGCAUUGGGCUUAGUCCUAGAGUUUUGUUUCUUAGACCUAUUGUUUUUGGGUUUAGGUUUUUCUUCUACAACAUUAGCAUUAGAAGACAACUUCUUAGGUUUCUCAACAUUGUCCCUAUUUUGGUUUUGUUCCUCAAUCCUAAUAUGGAUUAUGACAUCCUCUAGGGAUAUUUGUUUCCUUUUAUGUUUCAUGUUAUUUUUUAGUCUUUCUAAGACUCUGGAAAAGUCUCUACUAAAUAACCAGCCACAAAAUGUUCGGGUAAUUUAAUGUCUUCAAUAGCUAAGUCAUUAAUCCACAAGUGGUAGUCAUGGAUUUGAGAUAAUACAUCUCUAUCCUUGGUCAUUUGGAAAUUUCUAAAAUUCCCUAUGGAAUAUUAUGAGUUUAUGCAUCUUCCAAAAUAUAUUUUUUAUUCAUUGCAUCCCAAAUUUCUUUUGAAACUUUAAAUUGACAAUAAAUAUCAAAAAAUUCAUUAGAAAGGGUACUCAGAAUAACAUGUCUAACUUAUUUAUUUCCAGUUUCCUAGGUUGGUAACAGAUGAGAACCAUCUUUUGAUUUUGGGUCAGUCAAAAUGUGUCCCAAGUUCACUACAUCAAUUGCAAAGAAAACCCUUUCAUGUCAUCUCUUAAAAAAUGUCCCAUUGAAGAGAUCAAUUUUAGAGGUGUCAGGUCAGUGUGAACUAGAAAAGCUUCCAUUUGGAUAUAUUUCAAGAUUUUGGAUUUAAGGGUAUGGAAACAAAUGACGCCCAAAAGACACAAACAAAGAACAUAAUUAAUAAGAAGAAAAAUUUAUCGGCUGAGGCGUGAUAAACACUGUCCUUGAAAUAGAUCCACCCUCCUCGAAAACGAACGUAGUGUACUAGUGUACCAGUGGUCUACUUCCAAGAUUCAACAGCCAGAUCUCGCCUUGGGUGCACUCUGUAAGCGAGAUGUGUACAGCUCAGGUUUUAAAAAAAUUCCUCUAGAUAGAUGUAUGAAAAGACCCUUUGAAAAACUCUUUAAAAAAUUCUCUGAAAAAUUCUAUGAAAAAUUGGUAUUCGUAUUUAGAGAGUAAGGGGUGACCUGCUUUUAUAGGCCACUAAUAUAGUCCCAAUGGGACUCUACUUGUAAUCUGAACAUGACUCAAAGUGGAAGGGGAUUCAACUUAUAAAAGGAAUGAGACUCCACUAGCACAAUCCCAAUAAGACUCUUCCCAAAAAUAUAAGACUAAUAUAAUAAAAUAAAAUAAAAUUAAUUCUUAAUAGGACUCUUCCCAAAAUAAAAUAAAAUAAAAAUUAUUUACACUCUUCCUACACAAUUGAUAUGGCCAUUUGAUAGGUUUCAGGAGGAUUUCAAUGUCGGUAUCCAAUAGCAUGAAGAGAUGAUGACAUUUCUCCAAGCCCAGUUCCCACCUCAUGACCCGACCCAGCGUUGACCUAUCCUAAAAUGUUGAGGGAGUAUAUAUUUAGCUUUAUUUUUUUGCUACAUUUUGGGAAUGUAAUGGAUUAUAUGGUACCAAAAUAAGCUCUAGUAAUUUAUAUACUUACUUGCUAAUGAAGAAAAAUUAGUUGGAUUUUAAAGACCUAUAUUGUGUGUGAAAAAGUUAAUUUAGCCUUAUGUGGUGUUUUUUAUAAUAAUAUCCACAAAAAAUUUUACUAAAAUAGAUUAAAUUAGAAUUUCAAAAACAGACCCACCUUAUUAGGAUUCAAAACCCAACUCUAUAGCACCUUUCCUUCCUUCUGUUUUUUGUUCUUUUCUUUUUUUAUGGUACCUUUCCACCUGUUUAAUAUUUUUUUGGCAACGGCUUAUUUUUUCUCACAUUUACUUUCUUUUUUUUUCUCUCUUUUUUUCCUUACAACUUAUUCCCUAUUAUUAUUAUUAUUAUUAUUAUUAUUAUUAUUAUUAUUAUUUCACAACUACUCCAUAUUAUUUUUUUUUGUACAUAUUCCUAAACAUAUUUCAAUUCCCCAAAAAUUAAAUUUAUAUUAUAUAUAUUUAUAUUUCUAACUGUUGCAUUUGUUUUCUAAAUUAAAUGUCCUAUUUCAUAAUAAAAUUUAAUUUCUAAUCAUAUACCUAUAUUUUUACCAACUUAAUUAAUGCUCCAAAACCAAAAUUAUUAAUUUCAAUUAUAAAAACUAAAUUAAUUCGUUAUAAUUUUAAAUUCAAUUUAUCUUUUAACAAUUCAUUAUAAUAAUUCGGCACUAGUUUUUUUCACUAGGUGGUAAGUACCUAAUAAUAAUUGCAAUAAUUCUCAAAAUAUACUUAAUAUUCAAAAUUUUAAAAUCUAUUCAACUAAAUUUUUAUCCAAAUUUAAAUUUAAUUUUCUAAAUUUCCACUUUUUAAGUCAAACAUGAUAAAAAUUUUAAACUAUUGACUUUUGACCGACUUUUAGAAGAUUUCUUCCAAUAAAAUAUUAACAUAGGUCUUUACUAUUCAUUUUGACCAUUUGAUAAACAAUUUUAAGAAAAACUUUUCUAAUCUCUAAAUUUGACGUGUCAUUAGCAACCCAAGUAUGAGAACAUAUUUCUAAAGUUUUUGAGGUAAUUUAGAUUAUUUAUUAAUAAUUAUUCGAACCAUAUUUUUUAACCUACUGAUUAAUAGUACAUGCAAUGCCUAAGACAAAGAAGGUAUAGGUAUUGUAGAGUGUGCCUCAUUGAGAAGGAGGUCGAAUUCGAGACUGACCCCAUUGAUCAUAUCAUCAAAGGACAGAACAAGGAUCCUGAAUUCCUCAAGUUACAGGUUUUAAUCCAUUUCUUAUGGUUGUUUAAGCUUUGUUUUGAGCUCAGGAACAAUAUAAGAAACGAGACCUUGGUAAUUUUGAUGAAGUCAACAACUGCUCUAGAGUUGUAGGUCUAUGUAUUCUAUUAGUUUUAAGGCUAUACAGCUUAUGAGGAAUCGUAUCACAGUCACACAGGAACUGGGAACAUCAUCAUUCUCUUUAUUAUAUAUCAAGCAGUUUGGAAUAAUACAAUGCAGCAAGUAAUAAUGGUAGUCGAAGUCAUUGUGAGGAAAUACAACUAAGAGUGUCACUCACUUUUCUUUUCUGACCUAUCUGAUUGAUCCUCCAGAAGCAUUAGACCUAAUUACACAACUUACAUCCAUUUCCUCGUUCCUUUUAGGAGAAGACAGCCGGUGUUUCGACCAUUCUUCCAAGGCUUUGCGAUGGAGGGCAUUCAUUUGAAUAUAAGGUCGUUUUUCUCUGAUUAACUUCUCAGCGUUUUUCCAAUCUUCUGCCACGCCCAGAGCGACUAAUAGUGCGCACAUCACACAAACACUUCUUCCAUGACCUAAAGAAAACAUAAAAGGAUCAAAAUGUGGAAAUCUAUUUGGUAAAAGACAACCAUGUGUGAGAACGCUAGCAAGAAAGUAGUAAGCACCAAUAUGAACGAUAACUAAACAUAAUGGAUUCUAAAUUUCAAAUGAAAUCAUUCUUAGUUGCUUCUAUGGAUACUGACAGCAUAUGGGAUUGUGACAUUAAACAAGUCCAAGUUACAACAGCCUGCUUCAACCAAAAUGACAAAGGAGCUUUCUUGCUUCAGGGUUCAUGCUCAAAGAUUAUGGAUGAAUUUCAAAAGUGGUGGUUCUGUUGACAUAGAACUGAAAUCCUAAAUACAAGAAUUUGGAAGGUCAAAUAAAAGAAAUCUCAUAUAAGCAACGUUAAAGUGGCAUAAGCUUGGCCUUUUGGGAUAUGGAAAAGAGAAACAUUAUUUAAAUUAAAGGAAGAAAUACAAAGAAGGAUGUGAAUAUGCUUUGAAAAGGAAAAGGACCCUAAACAAAGGCUCAAUACCCCUACACUCUGUAAUAAGGGCAAUCAGACUGGCACCUACUCCAAACAGAUCAGACUAAAUUGGAAUGCAUGCAUGCUCCUUCGUUAUACAUAAUACCCAAAAUAAGUCAAGAAGCAUAUUACUUCCCACAACUCUGUUAAAGGUCUAUGUCUAUUCUUAAAUAUCCCAGCAUUCCUCUCCAACUAGAUAAGCUACAGUAUGGUAAGCAAGGUGCAAUGUUCAAAAGUAAGUUACUCCUAGAACACCCACCUAAGCCCUAAAAGAAAAUAACAAAUAUGUUAUAAUUUUUUUUGGAGUCACCCACCGAAUACCUAAUAAAGAGAAAAUAAAUUGCCACAACAUGCACAAAGGGGACAAUUAAAAACAAGCAGUUUGGUGACUCCCACUUUAAGAACACAUCUAUCAGGGUUAUACACCUUGCAUCAAUCUCUUGGCUCCAUCAAGUUGUUGUACUUUCAUGAGUAACUAGCCCUACAAAGGCUUGAACUUUCAGGAGAGCUUUAGAAUUCCAACUUUAUUUGGCUGGUGGAAAAAUAAUUGAAUUUUUUAUUUUUAGAGAGGAAAACAAAGAAGGAUUUAGGAGAAAUAGACCUACCCCAUCCAAGCCCAAUUUUGGUCUCUUAUCCAAGGAAAGUGAGAAUAAGACAGUAUUCUCAAGUGAUGAAAAGAGGGCAUCAAGAUCAACAAUUUCAUGCUGAGGUUUUCAUAAAAAUCAAAAUGUCAUGAGGGAGAAUUAGUGGGGAAGAAACAAAUGGGAAAAUAUGGCAGUUACUACACUUCGCAAGAGCAUAAAGUCAAGGCUAUCAACAAAGAGGAUGAUCUCCACAUCAUGGAUCCUCCUAUAAUCUAAUCCUAGAUCUAUUGUCAACAUCGAAUUGGAAAAGAUGAAGAAAGACCCAAUACCCAUAUGAAAUAUCUGUUUAGUCUUUGAUAUGAACUCUUGACCCCAUUAUAGGCAUCACAACCAUUAGCCCACAACCCAGAUUUACUCUCAAUAACAAAAUGCCAAAGAGAGGCUUGCACCCUAAGUAAUCUCCUCGACCACUUAACCUUGAAGACUCAAUGGAUUGAAAUUUCUCCCCCAACCACAAACUCCCUGAGCCUUAGUCUUGCACCCUAAGGAAUCUCCUCGACCACUUAACCAUGAAGACUUAAUGGAUUGAAAUUUCUCCCCCAACCACAAACUACCUGAGCCUUAGUCUUGCACACCACUCCCCAUUGAAUAAAAUUAUCAAUGUCCAA